UAGAACUAAAAAAAAGCUUGUGAUGAAUACCUUGGUACCUAGAAACGAAGAAGGGCGUUAGUAAUAAUAAUAACGAAAUGCUACGAUUAAAAUAAUCGUAGAUUCCCGAAUAGAUUAAUCUUUAGAACUACUUGUUUUAUUUCAAGUUAGAGAUGACCUGGAGAACUGAAACAUCUUAGUAUCCAGAGGAAAAUAGACAAAAAAUGUCAAUUCCCUUAGUAGUGGUGAGCGAACCGGGAAAUAGCCUAAAUCAUUUAAUUAAAAAUGAGGUUGUGGGAAAUAAAAAAAAGUAACAAAAAAAUUAUUUUUUAAUGUUAGACAAAUCAUUAUACCCUAGAGGGUGAAAGUCCCGUAGUCAAAAACAUAUAUGAUAAUUUUUUGUUAUAUUAAAUCCCAAGUAACACGAGAAAUGUUUAUCUUGUGCGAAUCUGCAAGGACCACCUUGUAAGGCUAAAUAUUACUAGGUAACCGAUAGUGAACAAGUACCGUGAGGGAAAGGUAAAAAUUUUCUAACAAGAGAAUUAUAUUCAUAAUGAAAUUGCAAGCUAUCAAAUUAUAGAAGGAGAAAUAAUCUCUAACUGUGUGCUUGUUGAAGAACGAGCCAGCGACUCAUAAAUAUUGGCUUUAAGGUUAAGGUGUAGCAAUACUGAAGCCAUAGCGAAAGCAAGUCUUAAAAGGGCAAAAAAAUAGUCAUUAUUUAUGGACCCGAACCUGAGUGAUCUAUCCAUGAACAGGAUGAAGCUUAAAUAAAAUUAAGUGGAGGUCCGAACCGGUUGAUGUUGCAAAAUCAACGGAUGAUUUGUGGUUAGGGGUGAAAUGCCACUCGAACUCAGAGCUAGCUGGUUCCCCCUGAAAUGUAUAUAAGUACAGCGGUUAAUAAAAAAUAUCCAGGGGUAAAGCACUGUUUUGACGAGGAAAAUAAAAAAUGACCAAAUUAAAGCAAACUCUGAAUACUGGAUAAAAAUAUAACUAGUGAAACAAUGUGGGAUAAGCUUCAUUGUUAAAAGGGAAACAGCCCAGAUCAUCAGUUAAGGCCCCAAAAUGAUUACUAAGUGGUAAAGGAGAUGAAAAUGCAAAGAUAAUCAGUAGGUUGGCUUAGAAGCAGCUAUCCUUAAAAGAGUGCGUAAGAGCUCACUGCUAAACGCGUCUUUGUGCCGAAAAUGUACGGGGCUAAGUAAUCUGCCGAAGCUUUGAGAUAUAAAAUAUACAAAAAUAUCGGUAAGGGGGCGUUCCGUAUUAAAAUUUUUACGGAAGUGAGAAUGUUGGCUUGAGUAACAAAAACAUUGGUGUGAAUCCAAUGCCCCGAAAACCUAAGGAAUCCUACGCAAAGUUUAUCCACGUAGGGUAAGUCAGGUCCUAAGAUUAAGUCGAUAGACGCAGUUGAUGGUCGACAGGUUAAUAUUCCUGUACUAUCUUUUUGAAAAAUUGUAUUUUUAAGGGACGAAGAAGGCUAAGUUAACUGAAAUAUGGUUAUCAGUUCAAGGACUUAAAUCAAUUAUUUUUUGAUGAAAUCUGAGUAUAAAACUUUAAUGUAAAAAUAACGUAUGUCAUACUUCCAGGAAAAACUUAAAAAUAUAUAAUAAGAGAUACCUGUACCAUAAACUUACACAGGUGGGUGAGUAGAGUAUACUAAGGGGUACGAGAUAACUUUUCUCUAAGGAACUCGGCAAAAUAACUUCGUAACUUCGGGACAAGAAGUGCCUAUUUAUAGGUUGCAGUGACCAGGCCCAGACGACUGUUUAACAAAAACACAGGUCUCCGCAAAGUCGUAAGACCAUGUAUGGAGGCUGACGCCUGCCCAGUGCUGGAAGGUUAAAGAAGUAGGUUAUCUGAUGUCAGAAAAGCUUACAACUAAAGCCCCAGUAAACGGCGGCCGUAACUAUAACGGUCCUAAGGUAGCGAAACUCCUUGUCGGGUAAGUUCCGACCUGCAUGAAAGGCGUAACGAUCUAGGUACUGUCUCAGAGAAAGACUCGGUGAAAUAAAAAUGUUUGUGAAGAUGCAAACUAAUUACACCUGGACAGAAAGACCCUAUGAAGCUUUACUGUUCCCUAUAAUUGAAUUUGCAUUUUUUCUGUGUAGUAAUAGGUGGGAGGUAAAAUUAAAAAAUUUAUCAUUAAUGAAAGACCACUCUGAUAAAAUUCAAAUUCUAAUUUUAUUAAAAAAAAAAAAGACAGUUUUAGGUAGACAGUUUAUAUGGGGCGUAGGCCUCCAAAAGAGUAACGGAGGCGCACAAAGGUUUUCUUAAACCAUUAUUAAAAUUGGUUGUCAAGUGUAAAGGCAAAAGUAAGCUUAACUGUGAGACCUACUUGUCGAACAGAGACGAAAGUCGGUCUUAAUGAUCCGAUAGUACUGUGUGGAAGGGCUAUCGCUUAACGGAUAAAAGCUACUCUAGGGAUAACAGGCUGAUCUUCCCCAAGAGUCCACAUCGACGGGUAGGUUUGGCACCUCGAUGUCGGCUCAUCGCUACCUGGAGCAGUAGCAUGUUUCAAGGGUUGGGCUGUUCGCCCAUUAAAGCGGUACGUGAGCUGGGUUCAGAACGUCGUGAGACAGUUCGGUCCAUAUCCGGUGUAAUCGUUGAAGCAUUAAUGGUUGUCUUUCCCAGUACGAGAGGAUCGGAAAGGACACACCUCUGGUGUACUAGUUAUCAUUCCCAUGGUAAAUGCUAGGUAGCUACGUGUGGAGUGGAUAACUGCUGAAAGCAUAUAAGUAGGAAACCCAUCCAAAGAUGAGUG
This 2734-nucleotide ribosomal RNA is filed under the name Hydnora triceps. RNAcentral's name for it is "23S ribosomal RNA". It matches the Rfam family "Bacterial large subunit ribosomal RNA". The record is from RNAcentral. Lineage: Eukaryota; Viridiplantae; Streptophyta; Magnoliopsida; Piperales; Hydnoraceae.